This 779-nucleotide long non-coding RNA is filed under the name Brassica napus (rape). RNAcentral's name for it is "long non-coding RNA (BNAP_LNC023078)". The record is from RNAcentral. Lineage: Eukaryota; Viridiplantae; Streptophyta; Magnoliopsida; Brassicales; Brassicaceae.
UUGACACACCAGGAAGAUGGCUUCAGAAAAAACUUGCAUUACAUUUAAUGAGCAGAUACAAAGAUUAAUAUGAAACCUUACCAGAGUGGAUUCAAGUAAAUAAAUCUUUCAGAAGAUGCUUAAUUAAGAUCUGAAUAUUACAGUUUAAUAAUGAUGAGUUUAAGAACACUAUGAACAUGAGUUUAAUAACAUAAGAAGACUAUGAACAUAAGUUUAAGAACACUUUUAACAUGGUUUCAAAAACACUUUGAGCAUGAGUUUAUGAACAUAAAAGCACUCUAAACAUGAGUUUAAGAACAUAGUUACCUUUGAAUCCAGUAAAACAUAUCAAGAGACAUCAGUUCCCCACCACGUUUGACAUUCCUGGCUUCCAGAAUCUGAGCACACUUGAAAGGUGGAGGAGCAGCGGCCAGAUUUCAAAUCAGAAGGGAGAAUUGAUGAGUUAGCUAUUUUAAAAAGAAUAUAUUGAAUUUAGUGUUAUCAAGGAUUGAGAGGAUGAUGUUCAAAAGAAGAAAGAUAACCUUUUUAUAGGUGUAGAAGAAACCGCCUUGCAGAGUUAAGAAGGCGAUAAAAGCGAUGAACCUGUAACUCGGACCGUUUCGGUUGAUUAGAGGAGAAGGCUAAACGACAUGAUUGAAGACAAACAAAGAGAUUCUUCAAGUUGAUUCGAGUCAUCCAAUCCCUCGAAACGCCACUGAUGGUGUCAGAGAAUGCAAAAGAACAUUUUUCGGUGACCCUAAUUUGGCGUGUAUUUGGUGAAGACGAAAGGGGAUUACGGC